CCUCAAGUGGUCAGGAUGAUUAUUGGGCCUAAAGCAUCCGUAGCCGGCGCUAUAAGUUUUCGGUUAAAUCUGUACGCUCAACGUACAGGCUGCCGGGAAUACUGUAGCGCUAGGGAGUGGGAGAGGUAGACGGUACUCGGUAGGAAGGGGUAAAAUCCUUUGAUCUAUUGAUGACCACCUGUGGCGAAGGCGGUCUACCAGAACACGUCCGACGGUGAGGGAUGAAAGCUGGGGGAGCAAACCGGAUUAGAUACCCGGGUAGUCCCAGCUGUAAACUAUGCAAACUCAGUGAUGCAUUGGCUUGUGGCCAAUGCAGUGCUGCAGGGAAGCCGUUAAGUUUGCCGCCUGGGAAGUACGUACGCAAGUAUGAAACUUAAAGGAAUUGGCGGGGGAGCACCACAAGGGGUGAAGC
This 412-nucleotide ribosomal RNA is filed under the name uncultured Candidatus Nitrosopumilus sp. Its description in RNAcentral is "bacterial SSU rRNA". It matches the Rfam family "Archaeal small subunit ribosomal RNA", at positions 482 to 894 of the family's 1478-position model. Lineage: Archaea; Thermoproteati; Nitrososphaerota; Nitrososphaeria; Nitrosopumilales; Nitrosopumilaceae. The record is from RNAcentral.